UAUAUAUUUAUAGUACUGUAUUUAUAGUAUUAUCAUUAUUUUAUUAUGAUUUUUUAAAAAUAGUGAUUAUCAAUUCAAUAACUUUUUUUAUCUGUAACUUGUUAAAAUAUUAUUAUCUUAUAUCAUUAUUUUUAUUUAAAUGUGCUAAAUCAAUUUUUGUUGUUUGUGAAAAGGUAAGUGUGGCGUGUGUUUGCACAUGUGUGUGUUACAUGUAAUCCGCAUGAUGAUAAUUUCAGGUGAUAUGAUUCGGUAGCUGAAUCAGGUCAGUGAUAAUCUAAUGUUUCCCCUCAUCUGGACAAUAAAGGUCAAUGCUCGUACCUAGACAUCAGCCCCAGGACACCUACUGUACCACACUGUGUGUGUCUGUGUGUUGCAAUGGUACACCAGAGUUUUCAAACAAAAUGCUUUUGAGUUUUUUCAUAUGAUCCAUGUUAUGAAUUUUAAUGCUUUCUGCAGUCAGAUUCACCCAGUUAUGUCAACAUGUUGAAGUGCUGUUGCAACCAUCACCAUAUGUCAUCCAUCGAGCGUCUAUGUCAUUAUUAAUACUUCUAGUGUAGUUAUUUUUAUUUUUCUGACAAGGUUCAAAGUUUUGACAAAGAUGGAUGUGUAAAGUAAAAAAAAAAAAAAAAAAUCCAACCCUUUUCAUCCAGAACAUUUUUUAAAUACAUAAUAUGCUGUUAAAUAUAGGAUUAUGCUAUCAUAAUAAACCAUUAAAUCAAAUAAUAACAAAUAAACAACGGAAAAUUAUCUCUUUAAUGUUUCAGUUAAUGAUAUGGACAUAUGGCCGUUUUGAUUUUCCACACAGUUCCACUGAUACUCCCAACGCUAGUGUUUCACAAUACUUGGGUCAGGAAAAACAGAAAGAAAGCACCAUAUGAAAUCUUAAACCUACUGUAUAACCUUUGAUGUUUCUUCUGCUUCAGAGAUAAAUUACAGAUGCUGGUCGAUGGAGCGUGAGAGAAAGACAACAUCAAAACAGCCAUGUGUGUGUGUGUGUGUGUGUGUGUGUGCGUUCACCUGGUGUUGCUCUUGCUUGACUGACUCUGGAAAUCGAAGGACUCCAGGAGUUACGAGGUGUCGUGUGGGGGCCUCACUCCCCUGUAUCUGUCAGGGUUCGAAACACACAUGCCGUGCAUAAUGCGUGCUGAUGGAGAGGGAAGAACAAACCCACACAGAUCAGAGAGCUGUGUUCCCCGGGACAGAGAGGGGUCUUCUGGGUACCGCUGAACUGACAACCCCUGGAGCAGAUACGCGGCACUCUGCACAAAUUGAACUGACAGCACUUUUUUUCCACUGAAAGUGUAAAGUCCUGAGUAGCAUAGAAUUGUGUUAUGUGGGGUUAUUUGCCUAGGCUGUUUAUACUGAGAGAAAAAAACACUCUUUUAUAAUGUUUUCAAUGGUGUUUACUCAUACUAAAAUACUGUGAACGAGUUUUCUGCAUUCAGCAGCAAUGUGACACCACUUCUAAAUCUACAGCAUGAAAUAGUGAGCGUAGUGCAGUUUGAUUCCUGAAUGAACAACUCUGGUUCUUAUUUUUUUUGUGUGAUCAGUAUAGUCCAAUUUCAAAGGAAUACAUCUUUUGAACCUGUUUUGUAAAUCAGAAAUAUACAGUGCGACUAGUACUAAAUGAAAUGACUCUUAUGAGUCUGCAAUUUUUUGUGAAUCACACUUACAGUGCAACCAGUGCACUUAAAUUCCUG
Molecule: long non-coding RNA, 1700 nt
Organism: Cyprinus carpio carpio
Lineage: Eukaryota; Metazoa; Chordata; Actinopteri; Cypriniformes; Cyprinidae
Source: Ensembl